UGUUAAAAGUUUCAUCCAUUUCUACUAUUAAAAAUUGGCGUAGUUGAUGGAAUAACUAGACAAUUACACAUGACAUGCCACACGCACCUCAUGCUGACAUAUAGUGACCAGUUUUUAAUAGUAGGAUCAGUUUGCUCUUACA
MicroRNA precursor from Gossypium arboreum, 142 nucleotides. It matches the Rfam family "MIR7502 microRNA precursor family". The record is from Rfam. Lineage: Eukaryota; Viridiplantae; Streptophyta; Magnoliopsida; Malvales; Malvaceae.